AAUGUUUGCGGCCGUUGCGGGGGCGCUUACACAUGCAAGUCGCACGAGAAAGGGCUUCGGCCCCGGUAAAGUGGCGCACGGGUGAGUAACACGUAGGUAACCUACCCUCGAGUGGUGGAUAACCCUCCGAAAGGAGAGCUAAUACAGCAUAAGACCACAGCAUUCCGAUGCUGUGGAAAAAGCGGGCCUCUCUAUAGAAGCUCGUGCUCGAGGAUGGGCCUGCGGCCCAUCAGCUUGUUGGCGGGGUAAUGGCCCACCAAGGCUAAGACGGGUAGCUGGUCUGAGAGGAUGAACAGCCACACUGGAACUGAGACACGGUCCAGACUCCUACGGGAGGCAGCAGUGGGGAAUCUUGCGCAAUGGGCGAAAGCCUGACGCAGCGACGCCGCGUGAGCGAUGAAGGCCCUCGGGUUGUAAAGCUCUGUGGGGAGGGAAGAAUAAGCCUAGGCUAAUACCACUAGGUGAUGACGGUACCUCCUUAGCAAGCACCGGCUAACUCUGUGCCAGCAGCCGCGGUAAGACAGAGGGUGCAAACGUUGUUCGGAAUUACUGGGCGUAAAGCGCGUGUAGGCGGCUAUGCAAGUCGGGCGUGAAAUCCCUCGGCCCAACCGAGGAAGUGCACUCGAAACUGCGCAGCUAGAGUCUCGGAGAGGAAGGUGGAAUACUUGGUGUAGAGGUGAAAUUCGUAGAUAUCAAGUGGAACACCGGUGGCGAAGGCGGCCUUCUGGACGAUGACUGACGCUGAGACGCGAAAGCGUGGGGAGCAAACA
This 770-nucleotide ribosomal RNA is filed under the name uncultured bacterium. RNAcentral describes it as "bacterial SSU rRNA". It matches the Rfam family "Bacterial small subunit ribosomal RNA", at positions 22 to 774 of the family's 1533-position model. The record is from RNAcentral.